GCCGGGGUGGCCGAGCGGUGAGGCAGCGGACUGCAGAUCCGCUAUACCGGGGUUCAAAGCCCUUAAUGGGGGUGGAACUCCCUGCCCCGGCUCCA
Molecule: transfer RNA, 95 nt
Filed under: Candidatus Jordarchaeia archaeon
Lineage: Archaea; Promethearchaeati; Candidatus Jordarchaeia
Description: tRNA-Cys
Rfam family: tRNA
About the family: Transfer RNA (tRNA) molecules are approximately 80 nucleotides in length. Their secondary structure includes four short double-helical elements and three loops (D, anti-codon, and T loops). Further hydrogen bonds mediate the characteristic L-shaped molecular structure. tRNAs have two regions of fundamental functional importance: the anti-codon, which is responsible for specific mRNA codon recognition, and the 3' end, to which the tRNAs corresponding amino acid is attached (by aminoacyl-tRNA synthetases). tRNAs cope with the degeneracy of the genetic code in two manners: having more than one tRNA (with a specific anti-codon) for a particular amino acid; and 'wobble' base-pairing, i.e. permitting non-standard base-pairing at the 3rd anti-codon position.
Source: RNAcentral